AAAAAGAAGAAAAAAAAGAGAGAGAGAAAAGAAAAAGAUAAGAAAAAGAACAGUAAUAAAAGAGUGAAAGGAAAGAGUUAUUUAUUUAUUUAUUUAUUUUUUAUUAUUUAAUUAGCUAUGUGGGGGGGUAGGGAGAGAGUGGGUAGGGGAGAUAGGAAGAGUAAAACAAGUUACUUUAGUAGUGGAUAAAACACCCAGUCCCCUAGCAAUGGAAAAUACACGAAGAGUUAAUUCUGGUAAUCCUGAAGAAGAGGGGGAAAGGGAUACAUGUUUAUCUUGUAUUGAUAAUAAAAUAGAACAGAGUAAAAAGCCUGUCCUGUCUUCAGCUUGGAUAGCUCCAGAUUGCCUCAGGCCCCCUGAGCAGAGGCAGCUGAUUGUUGCGAAAAUAAAGAAAAGAAAAAAAAAAAAAACCUCUGAUGGUCUUUUCCUGUCUGUGUAAGAUGCUGCUUGGUGGAAUAUUUGUAUCUGGAAUUGGCUAUUUAGAAAGAAAAAAGGUCCUCAACAUGCUUCAGCUCAGACUGUGUCCAGAGACUUCACGUGUGGAAUGACAACCCUUCAGCUUCAUUACUUGGGAAAGCAAGCCCAGCUGAAGCUGUGAGCAACAAGAUUUCUUCCACUUCAGAAACAGACAUCUCAGUUAACUCUUGCUGCAAACUACCCUGUGUUCUUCCAGACAACAAGAUGGAGAGUGAUAUCAUUGGACUUCAGUGCCUGAAGAACUUCAUCUCUGCUGUGAAACCCUGGAAUCAAGCAGAAAAAAAAAAAAGGGGG
Molecule: long non-coding RNA, 771 nt
Organism: Erinaceus europaeus (western European hedgehog)
Lineage: Eukaryota; Metazoa; Chordata; Mammalia; Eulipotyphla; Erinaceidae
Exons: 4
Source: RefSeq, a predicted model, not a curated record